CCCGCUCAGAAACUUAAAUGAAUUGACGGGGGGCCCGCACAAGCGGUGGAGCAUGUGGUUUAAUUCGAUGAUACGCGAGGAACCUUACCUGGGCUCAAAUGUAUGUUGACGUAUUCUGAAAGGGAUACUUCUUCGGACAAUAUACAAGGUGCUGCAUGGUUGUCGUCAGCUCGUGCCGUGAGGUGUCGGGUUAAGUCCCAUAACGAGCGCAACCCCUAUCAUUAGUUGCCAUCAGGUCAAGCUGGGGACUCUAAUGAGACUGCCAUCGUAAGAUGUGAGGAAGGUGGGGAUGACGUCAAAUCAGCACGGCCCUUACGUCCGGGGCGACACACGUGUUACAAUGGGUGGUACAAAGGGCAGCUACCUGGCGACAGGAUGCUAAUCUCCAAAACCACUCUCAGUUCGGAUCGGAGUCUGCAACUCGACUCCGUGAAGCUGGAUUCGCUAGUAAUCGCGCAUCAGCCACGGCGCGGUGAAUACGUUCCCGGGCCUU
RNAcentral lists this ribosomal RNA (493 nucleotides) under uncultured Proteiniphilum sp. Its description in RNAcentral is "bacterial SSU rRNA". It matches the Rfam family "Bacterial small subunit ribosomal RNA", at positions 888 to 1382 of the family's 1533-position model. The record is from RNAcentral. Lineage: Bacteria; Pseudomonadati; Bacteroidota; Bacteroidia; Bacteroidales; Dysgonomonadaceae.